Bombus pyrosoma is the source of this 5455-nucleotide RNA transcript. It is a transcript of the gene named longitudinals lacking protein, isoforms H/M/V, with no coding region annotated. The record is from RefSeq and is a predicted model, not a curated record. The transcript is spliced from 6 exons. NCBI's taxonomy places the organism in Eukaryota, Metazoa, Arthropoda, Insecta, Hymenoptera, Apidae.
GAUAUCAACAUAUCUGUCGGUGUGAUUUUUGUGGAGUUUACCGCGCGCCAUACGUGAUAUCUUAAUUUUUCGCCUAUGACGUCAUUUGUGAAUUACACAAGCGUCACCGCUCAGUCUGUUGUGGAAAAUUUCGUCGAAUAUAUGGCAGCGUCGAGCGAACACUGUUUUUCCUAAUAAACACCGAAAACAAUCUCGAUAUCGGAGUGCAUCGUGUUCACUAGCGGAUACCCUGUUAACCACGAUAUUAUCGUCAAGGAAUCCUUGUUCGGACUGAAAAUAUAGUUACAGUGUUUGGAAGUUAUUCGACUAUUUGCUGUGAUGUCGAUGCAACAGUUCUGUUUGCGGUGGAACAAUCAUCAACCAAAUUUCAUUUCGGUGUUUUCGAAUUUGUUGAACAAUGAGACUUUGGUGGAUGUGACAUUAGCUGCUGAAGGCAGACACCUUCAGGCACACAAAGUUGUUUUGUCUGCAUGCAGCACAUAUUUUCAGUCAUUGUUUACUGUGAAUCCGUGUCAACAUCCAAUUGUCAUAUUAAAGGAUGUAAAAUUCUCUGACUUAAAAAUCAUGGUUGACUUUAUGUACUACGGUGAAGUAAACAUAUCACAGGAUCAGUUACCAUCUAUCAUAAAGACCGCAGAGAGUUUAAAAAUAAAAGGACUUGCAGAAAUGCACACUGCUUCUUUAACCAAGUGGCCAAGUGGUAGUAGUGAACCUGGAGGAGGAGAUCGUGGGGAAUCUUGUUCACCUAGCCCUUCUCCAUUAUCACCAUCCUUUCGUAGAAAGAGAUUAAGGAAAUCAUCGACAGGAUCAACAUCUGGAUCUGGUGAGAAACCAGAAGAAAUGAAUGAAAUCACUUUAGUUGCCACUAAUAUUGUAAAACCAGAACCGUUGAUAGUUUCACAAGAAGGUAGCGAAAGUCUAAGAAGACCUGUUAAUACUAGUACUGAAUCUCAAGGAAGUAUCGAUGAAGAUCAAAUAUCGAUCAUGAGUAACAUGGAGAAUAGUUCGGCAACAACUCCUGCACAAAGUGAUGGCUCAAUACAAGAUGUGAGUCAACAGUCAGGAGGAAAUGUUGCACAGAGUACAGUUUCUUCACAACCACCCGCACAUCAAGGAUUGCAAUGGACUAUUAUGGAGCAUACAUAUCCACGUUUCGCUCUGUCCUCGUGUCAAACGAAUCUGUCGAUCCAAGCGUCAUCAGCUUUUACCACGCCCGAAAUAACAGCUUCUUCGACCAUCAGCGAUCAGUACUCUGGUACCAGCACGACUGGUUCCAGUUGCGCCCUGACGAAUUAUCCGAACUCCUCGCACGGGACAUUGCAGCACGCAUCGUCGAGCGGCCCAUCACCGUCGGCACAGUGCCCGAGUAACUGCCAGAGUCCUUGCGCCAGUCCGCAGACCGCAAUUAAAAGGAAACGAUCGACAAAUCCGCAGGCAGACGAGAAUUUUAUCAGGGCGUUAGAUGCUGUUCGAUACGGCGGUAUAGGGUUUUGUAAAGCAGCCAGGAUGUUCGGCGUGAACAAUCGAACACUUUGGCUGGAAUACAAAAAGCGUGGUUACCCAAACAAUCGACCGAGCUUGAAAUCGAGGGUCAAGCAAGAAGUGAAUUCCUCACCACCGCCAGCUCCGUCGGCGCAGCCGGUUAAUUCGCAGAGUCCUACGCCCAUGGGCCCUCCCACCACCCCACACAGUACACACAAUACCCACAGCACGCAUACCAUGCUAACCACUCAUAGUCCUCAUACGAUGUUAAGUGGUUACAUCGAUAGCAGGCAUACGGAUUACGCAUUGCCCAGCACUACAAUGCCAAUCAAUUUACACGGCGUUAACUACAACGCGAUGUGAGCCACUGGCUAUGACACGCCGAUACCAACGGUCACUUGUAUAGACGAGCUUGAAAAGUAUUAAAUACCGAACAAGCGUGUGGAGGAAGAAUUUUAGAUCGGCAAUACUCAUCCGAAAGAGAAUUCUCUCGUUAAAUGAAGAGAAACGAUACAAUUUUAGAUACUUUCUUUGCCUAGUUCAUAUGUAUCUAUAAAAGUGCUUUUCGACUAACGCAAUGAUCUCGAACAACUGGAAACGUCAGUAUAUCAUAGUUUAUACACUACAGAUUUUUUAUAUUAUGGAUAAAUGUAUAUUAUAAUGGAAAAUGUCGUCGCUGGAGCUCGUUGACUUGUAAUUCUUAACGAUUGUACAUAUUUCUUUCCUGGCUAGUUCAAUCUUAGAAAGAAGCGAAAAUUUUGUCACUGUUUUGAAAAAACAGGAUCGUGUAAGAGUUAAAUAAAUAAUUUCAUCAGAUACUCGUUGGAAUCAAUUAGAAUAAUAAAUUUUGAGUGAACGAGCUCAGAGUGGACGACGGCAACUCUUCCUUGUCGAGAACCGGAAGUUCCGGCGAAGGGUAAAGAAAAAAGAAAACAAAUUCUGGAACAGGUUCCUUUAGUUUAAAUCGUAUCUUUUGAAAUUUGAAUUACACACGAAUGUGAUAGAGCAGGAACGACCAUAUGCUGAAAGCAUAUACUUGCUAGUUUGUAAUUUCAGAUAUUUAUGGGCGAACUAUUGAACAUUUUUUAAUUUCACGUUUUUAUCGAUGCACGAUCGGUCUUCACACGAAUAUCGAUAUAAUCUAAAGUUGGUGGAAUAAUCUUACGCAGACACGUCGGAAUUAUUUCGCUUUUUAUCAACUUUAGCCUGUACCAUGCCGCGACAUUUUUGUACAUAGUGAAUAAAAGUAGCGAUAGUGAAACAUAGAUCAAGAAUAUAUUAUGUGUAUUUGCACAUAAAAAAACACGUAGCUAAUACAUCCUACGGAAUUAACGACUUAUCUACGAGCGAGAAGUGAAACGCAAUGCGUCGUCAAUACAUGUAUUACAAUUAAUUUGCAAUCGUCGAAGAAAAGCAUACAUUUUCUGACGGAUCAUAAUUAUCUGUAAAGAAUGUCAAAACUCGUUUAUAUUUUUUGUAACGAGUAUAAUAGCUUUUGUGAGGGUUGCACUGUUUAAAGGAAUUUGUUCAAAAUUUUCGACGGAUUAUUCCGCGUAAAAAAUUCUAUUAUACAGGGUGUUUCAUAAAAUACAUAAUUGUAAGGUUAAUUCAAUUAUGAAGUGAAGAAAAUGUCUGUGAAUCCUGGUGAUUCAAUCGAAAAAGUAGUUUACCGCUGUAUCUGCGAUAUCAUGUAACAUUUAAUUCAAAUAUAAUUCUCGUUGUUUUUGCAAUACUGUAAUGUCACGAUAAUUGCCAGAAAAUCAGGUGACACAGCCUGCAAUUAUCGUUUAUUUACGGGACUUGAUCCUAAGUAUAGAUACGGAUGCGUUGUUUUGUCGAAUGUAGAGGGCUAUAAUACGAGUAACAGAAGAAGAAAGGAAAAAGAAAGAAACAUAUCUAUUGGUUUAUGUUACACAAUACUAGCGCAACGAUGAAAUAUUUUUAUCUUUAAUUUUUUAUGAAUAAAACCUUUAUCAAUUGUCGGGUUUUUCUCACUGAAAUAAGAUCAAACACGAUACUUGAAACUUGAAACAUAUUUAUUUAUUUAAUGGCAUUAACUUAUAUUUUUUCGCAUAUUAAAUACCUAUAUAAAACGGAUUUUAAAUAUAUCGUAUAUCUUUUCUUUAUCAAAAAAAAUCUUAUAAAUACGUUAGUAAAAAUUCGAUUUUUAAAAAAUCAGAAAUUAACAAUUGUCAUUGUUAAAUUAGUAUUGUCUCGUGGAUAUUUGAAUUCGGAUCAAGUCACACUAUACUUAGUCGUCGAACUUAGCGGUAUGUGUCAAAGAGAACGCCAGGACCUGUUGAGGAGGGUUAUCGGCCCCAGUGGUGGGGAUGACUUUCGUGCAAUUGGGAGGAACAUCGCGUCUGGUAAUCAUUAAAAUAUUACUGUAUAUCGAAUGAGAUAUUUUAUAGCACACCCUGUACAUAGAGGCAGCAGGCUACAGGGUAUAGUAGCACGAUUACUAGCGUGCAGGAUCACUUUAGUACAAAUACUGUGAAGUUCUUGUACUGUCUUUCGUUUUGACCGAAAUUCAGGUAAUUUUUUAACGUAUUCGAAUUGUUCUUCGAUAUUUACGAGGGAUUAAAUGUACAAUUUAAUUUUUUCCAAUUUCAUCAAAAUUUAUCGCAAUUUUCAUUGAUGAAUUAUCUGUUCUUUAAAAUUAUGUAAUUAAUAUCAAUAUGUAUAUUAUUUAUAUGUAUAGUUCCGAUUGAUUUAGGAUGUUGUAGCCUAUAAGUGCUAAUUAAGUGCAAUAUCCGCGGGAACAAACGUUUUCCUGAUUAACUCGUCGAUCUGUUAACGUACAAUUACAUGUAUAACCUAAAGAGCAAAAGAAAAGAGUAAGGGAAUACGACAAAGUAAUGCAUGUAUUGAAAAAUAGAUGUGUACGAUGUGACAACUUAUCAUUGAUGGUUCGAGAAUUUCUUCAAUUUUCUUGGAGAAAUGAUUUUAGUUAAUGCUAAUAUUUGAUUUUCUAAUUCCUUUUACUACGAAAACUUACGAUAUUUCUCAAAAUAGAUAAAGAUUAAAGUUUCUCGACAAAAUUAAUUGUAUAAUAAUUUUCCUCAUUUUAUGUUUAAAUAGGAAGAGAGAAUGAUCUAUAAGUGUUCCGUUGAAGCGAGAAAAUAUUAUAUUACGACGCUAGAAUUAAAACGAAUACUAUCUUCUUGUUUAGCAUUUAAAUAGACGCAAAUGAAUUUUAACGACAAUGUAAAUAACAUAAUUUUUUUGUUUAUUUGUACGAACGAGUACUGUCACUCAUUUUUGCGUACUUGGCAUUUAAUGGAGUUGGAGAUUCACGUUUUUAACUCGUACAUGAACUAAAUAACGAAAGAUUUGCAAAAGAUUUGCAAAUUUUUGUUCCUCUGUCUUCGUUUCUAUAAAUUAGGCUAAUAAUGAAAAUAUCAAUUCAUAAAGUAAUUGCAUUGUAAAAUAGUUGAAUUGUAAAAUGUACGUAGGAAUCGGAAUUCUUCUCCCAAAUUUUUACAUCGAUGAUAUGAAAUUUCAAUGAAAUCCUUUUAUUAGAAAAUAAUUGACUACUCGAGAUAACCGACUAAUCAUUUCUAGCGAAAAUCGAGCGCGUUUCGCUGUUUCCUGUUUUCGUUCCGAACGUCUGUACAAAACGAUAGAUGAAUAUAGAAUGUUAAAGAAAUGUUGAUCGUAAUGUACACUAUCUUAAACAUUGAUACUUCGUAAAAAAAAAAAAAAAGGGAAAACAGAAUAAAUAAGUGAGGUGUAAAAAAAAAGGAACUAGUUUAAAAUCGGUACCGAAUUUUAUAUGCAGAGAGGGUCGAGUUUUGAUGUGUCAAUGUUAUUGUAUAACGCCUUUAAUAAAUCACACGUGAAGGAAGAAUGAAUUAAAAGUUGUUUCUGGCCAGGCUUACGACUCUGUUCACUAGUCUGUAAGCAGGUAGGCCCGAAGAGGUGUCGUCUGUUGCGUCAGCCCCGGGUGAAGAAGGAGUCGAAUCAUUUGUCG